UGGGGAAUAUUGCCCAAUGGACGGAAGUCUGAUGCAGCAACGCCGCGUGCGGGAUGACGGCCUUCGGGUUGUAAACCGCUUUUUCUCAUGACGAAGUUUUUUGACGGUAGUGGGGGAAGAAGCACCGGCUAACUACGUGCCAGCAGCCGCGGUGAUACGUAGGGUGCGAGCGUUGUCCGGAAUUAUUGGGCGUAAAGAGCUUGUAGGCGGUUUGUCGCGUCGAUAGUGCAAACUCAGUGCUUAACGCUGAGCCUGCUGUUGAUACGGGCAGACUGGGGGAGGGGAGGGGGGAAGGGAAUUCCCGGUGGGGCGGUGGAAUGCGCAGAUAUCGGGGGGAACACCGGGGGCGAAGGCGGUUCUCUGGGCCUUUCCUGACGCUGGGAAGCGAAAGCGUGGGGAGCGAACAGG
Molecule: ribosomal RNA, 408 nt
Filed under: Fusobacteriota bacterium
Lineage: Bacteria; Fusobacteriati; Fusobacteriota
Description: Fusobacteria bacterium partial 16S ribosomal RNA
Rfam family: Bacterial small subunit ribosomal RNA
Source: RNAcentral